CAAGGAUAAAAACACGUCCCGGUAGGUAGUCCGGGAGCAGCGGCAACGCUGUCAGUAACCUGCCUCCUUGGUUGUCCGUUCCUUGCG
RNAcentral lists this non-coding RNA (87 nucleotides) under human gut metagenome. RNAcentral describes it as "yjdF RNA". It matches the Rfam family "azaaromatic riboswitch aptamer (yjdF RNA)", at positions 6 to 91 of the family's 101-position model. The record is from RNAcentral.